CUAAAAGUAAUGAUCAGGAGAAGUAAGUAGCAAAAUCUUUUCAGAGAGUUGUCGGAUGGUGCAAGACAAUAUGAUCGGCUGGUGAAAGUAACCUGUGAACUUAACAUUCCAAAGGGAAACUCAGUAGAGUGUUACGGUGGUUCUCCGUUAACAGAACAGCAUUCGGUUGUUGCCUGAUGUGUAAGGCUUAUUUUUAUAAGCGAAGUAGAGUGGUACCACGGGGUUUAUUAGCUUCGUCUCUUAU
RNAcentral lists this non-coding RNA (244 nucleotides) under Eubacterium sp. RNAcentral's name for it is "T-box sequence". It matches the Rfam family "T-box leader". Rfam says of the family: Uncharged tRNA acts as the effector for transcription antitermination of genes in the T-box leader family. T-boxes are found upstream of many aminoacyl-tRNA synthetase genes and some amino acid biosynthetic genes usually in Gram-positive bacteria. The record is from RNAcentral. Lineage: Bacteria; Bacillati; Bacillota; Clostridia; Eubacteriales; Eubacteriaceae.